This 253-nucleotide ribosomal RNA is filed under the name uncultured bacterium. RNAcentral describes it as "partial 16S ribosomal RNA". It matches the Rfam family "Bacterial small subunit ribosomal RNA", at positions 524 to 776 of the family's 1533-position model. The record is from RNAcentral.
UACGAAGGGGGCUAGCGUUGCUCGGAAUCACUGGGCGUAAAGCGCACGUAGGCGGAUUGCUAAGUCAGGGGUGAAAUCCUGGGGCUCAACUCCAGAACUGCCUUUGAUACUGGCAACCUUGAGUCCGGGAGAGGUGAGUGGAACUGCGAGUGUAGAGGUGAAAUUCGUAGAUAUUCGCAAGAACACCAGUGGCGAAGGCGGCUCACUGGCCCGGUACUGACGCUGAGGUGCGAAAGCGUGGGGAGCAAACAGG